Molecule: long non-coding RNA, 849 nt
Organism: Acinonyx jubatus (cheetah)
Lineage: Eukaryota; Metazoa; Chordata; Mammalia; Carnivora; Felidae
Exons: 3
Source: RefSeq, a predicted model, not a curated record
AGGGCAGGGAGGGGCCUCUCCCCUGUGCUGAUGUCCUUAGGAGGCCACUCUGAGUUUCCCUUCCCCACAGCCUCAGGCUGGCUCUCGCAUAAUAAUAGACAGUGCUGGUAGCCGCCACAGGACCUGGGGAAAAACAUUCCAAUUCUCCUGUCAACUGUGUCUGAAUUUCUUUUUUAAAACAGAAAUCUCUGACAGAUCUCACCAUGGACCUCUGAUUAGCUAGAUGACAUGUAGAUAAGAUUUCAGGACCUACUACAGGGAACGGAAUCCCGGGGUCUGUCACCAGUCUACUUUUCCUGCUGCAACUUCUUCAUUUGGAUGUGUCAAGAGGGCAAAUCUCUAACAAAGGAACUCCAGCGAGAGCAACUGCAAAGCCCACCACAAGGCAGAAGACACGGUCGGAAAUAGACGUGGUAAUGACAAUAGCAGAGGCUCCAGUGAGAACCAAUGUGUCUAGAAUGUGCACCUCCUUCAGUACCUGUAUACUUCCAGUACUCAUUGCUAUAAGACAUCUUCACAUAGUGAUCUGACCUUGGGCCUUGCCCCUUCGUACCAGCAUGAUGAAUCAGGAAAGCAGACUAUUCUUGGAACCAUUCCUCCACCAGAACAGAGUAGAAAGGAAGAAGAGAUGAGUGAAAGAAAAGUAGGGAGAUGAAGGAAGAAGAAAAGAUAUUGUUUUGAGAUAAUUUCUGUGUACAUCUGUCCUAAAAAGGAGAUAGGUAAGUGGUAUUUCAUAAUCUUCCUACAGUACCAUAUUCCCACAUUGAUAAAUGAAUAUAUUUAGAAUUUAAGCACAAUGUUGUUUUUUAAAUUUAUUUUCAUUUAUUUAUUUAAUAUGAAAUUGAUUGU